Molecule: long non-coding RNA, 4122 nt
Organism: Ictalurus punctatus (channel catfish)
Lineage: Eukaryota; Metazoa; Chordata; Actinopteri; Siluriformes; Ictaluridae
Source: Ensembl
CGGGGCGGAGGAGGUGGGGGUGGAAGCCAGUUAGACAGAAUUCUUCAUUGUUCGGGCCGAGAGCUCGCCGUUCUGUUGAUCCCGACUGAUCCAAAGAAACAAAACUGCAUUGUUCCUCGCAGAUGGAAGCGAGUGUCGCCAAGGUAACCGGAUUAAUCUCUUUCUCUUUUCUCCGCUUCCUCCGGUGGAGAGGGCUAAUCGCGGCGCGCCAUUCACGCCAAAGCCGGGCCUCAAAGCCCGGGCCUCUAACUAGCCCUCUAAUUAGCCGCAAUUACAAUGAAGACAACAUGAUGAGAUAAUAGAAAUUUGCAGAAUAAUGACAUACCACGGCAAAAUAUUCCUCCUCCUAAGCAGCGCUGCUUUUUUUCCUCCUCUCACCCCGUUGUGUGUGUGUGUGUGUGUGUGUGUGUGUGUGUGUGCGUCUCGGCACCGCCACAAUGAGCCGGGGCCCUUUUUUUUUUUUUUUUUUUUUUUUUAAAGCCGAAGGGGUAGAAUGGCGCUGCAUUCGGAGGCACAGAACCCCAUUGUCAACCUCCUCCUUUUUUCCCCUCAAUCAACAGCCCAUUGUCUGGUUUCUUAAAUAAAAAUGACUCGAAUGCAGGCACACAUAAUGAUCUGCUUCUCACCAGCAUGUGAAACACACACACACGCACGCACGCACUCACACGUGCACGCUAUCGGAUAAAUGCAUGUAUACACAUGCAGACAGUCCUGCUGGUUUGAUACGCGGCUAAAAGAGAGCGGAACAACCGUAUGAACCGAUUCUACUUCCUGUACGACUAAUAACAGCGAGUUACUAAUCACACACCGUCAAAACAGACUACUAAUUACAGCUGUUAUGCUAAUAUUAGCUCGCUUCCUAGCUAUCCUGACUUACACUAGAUGGCUUUCUCGAUGCUAGCUAUGGUAGCUUGUUAGUAAACUGCUGAGUUUUAAGGACACAGUACGAUAACAGCUAGCUUAACAUCAGCGAAUGUCCUUCUGGGUUUUAACUACACAAUACGUUGCUAGUUACUCAGCUAACCGCAAACGCUAAGUACUAACUGAUGCAGAGGUACCAUUAGGUAAGCUAACUAGUAAGCUAGUUUUUAGCAUGUGCGUGUUUUGAAGUGUGAUCAGAUGUCCUGUAUUCACUCAGGCACUAACAGACACUGUGAAUCGUGCAAAAAAUGUAACCACGGAUACGCUUGUCGUAGACACGCCCACUCGGACGCAAUGCUACGUUCGAGUAACGCGCGCCACUUUGAUAAUUAAGCUAGGAAAGAAACAAAGGAAACGCCCGGAGUUUAGAAUUCAGAGGGAUGCGGCGUCGAGUCGAAAUGGCCGCUCUCACCGCGAAUAAAAUAUCUCGUUUGAAAUGUUUUUAUAGGAGUAUUCCCUUCAGAUCAAUCGGAAGGAACGUCAGCAUAGAUUAGCUGGUUAAAAUCGAUAAGUAUGCAGUUUAGAGGGUUGAGAAAGUAAGUAAACCGUUCAUCUGCAAUGCUAACUGGCUAGCUCGGACGCUAUCCUGGAGGCGUCUAUGUUUUUCCUCCACUUUGUAGCGCUGGAAACCCGUAGCAGCUCGAGAUCUAACACUGCCUUAAAGUCCUGUCGGAAACCCCGUAACGACGAGGCGGACGCAGCGUCCGGGAACGCCGGCACGGCGUCGUAAUUACCACUCAGGAGCUCGGAUUUUUCGAUGAGCACCGGGGGCGUGUCAGUAACGAGACGUCAUCGAUAUGAAGCGAUAGUUAUGCACGUUGUCCGUUCAGCUCUUCGUUUUCUUUCAGUGAGGUAAAAUAAACCUCCCGCCACUCGACACGUUUCCAUCCGAGGACCGAUUCAGUCGUUUUGGGGUUUUUUUUUUUUUUUUUUUGUGGGGAAAAAAAAAAAAGGUUUAUCGCAUUGAAAUGUUCACCGAUAUACUUGAUGUAUCUAUAAAAUGAUCAAUAAAAUGUCACAAGCUUAUUCCGUCCUGGCGGCGUCUUCUCAUUAUUUCGUCCAAUUGCGAUUCUUCGCGAAAUCACGACCGGUUUUAAUUCGUCGUCUCGAUGAUAGUCUCCAUUUUACGAGGAUUUGAGGAUACGUGGUACGCAAACGUGGUACGCAAAACGGCUCGAGGAUUUCUUUUGCGGUACACGACGACUUCGGUCGAGUUUUUUUUUCCCUUUUAAGGAUUACAUCAUCACACACACACCAUUUUAGCAGUAAAACGCCAAACAGGCGAGACACAGCAAAUUUUGCCAAAUUAAAACGCGUUUGUUUGUUUGUUUAUUUAUUUAUUUAUUUAUUUAUUUUAACGUAUUUUCACUUUGUCGAUAACAGAACGGCUGAUAAGGUGGACGGAGACUUGGCUAUCGGAAGAACCGACCGCUCGCUUUUACGGUCAGUGCUUUGCUAUCGUCGUAAAUGAACCACGAUAGACGGGGGGAAAAAAAACCAUCCGUGUGCCAAAACACAGAUUACGCCGGCUGUCGCGCUGUGUACAAAAUUUUUCACAAAUAAACAACACGACAAAUAACUCGAGACACAAGCGGCUCGUCCUCGGUGUUUACGGAGAACCCGGGAUCGUGGAUGCGAGGUCUUGGGAGGUCUGAAGGAUCUGAGUUUGCAUAAGCGCGUAUUAAACAGCAUGAAGGAUGAAUCAAUCCGGCGUUUGAAGUCUCCUCGCCAUCAUUAAGCCGACCCGCAUUCAUUAAAACACAUAUAUUCCACUCAAAGGCGCCGCGAUUGUCUUCGUUCUUUUCGUGUCGUACCUUAUUAGGAAGUUUUCCCUCACAUUCAGAGAUGAAAUGGCGGCGAGAUAAACAAGACCGCGGUAAGCUCGUGUGUCAUUAUUCUCAGGUGAGUAGCUAAUGAGGUAAAAAGGUUAGCGUAUUUAAACUUCCGUGCUUGGAUUAUUUGGUAUCAGGUUGUUGUUGUUUAUUUAUUUAUUUAUUUGAUUUUUAAAAAGAUGUUUACUUGUGUUGAUCCGCGAAACCGGUUUGUGAAAACAAUGAGGCCUAAUUAAAGAGCGGGAGCGUCGCCGUUGUGACAAAGCCACGCCGUGUAGUAAGACAAUUCAGCGGCGUGGCGUUUGGAGAAAUAAAUAAAUAACGUGUUAAAUUCACUUCAUUAUUCUCUCACAAAAGGUUUGUGACUCUGUUCAGUGAGCUAUAGUUCACGCUGUGUUGUAAUUAAUGUUGCUAGAAUAUCCGAAAUAUACAAAAUAAUUAGUGUUGGUUCAGUGAAGUGGGGGUUUUUUUUGUUUGGUUUUUUUUUUUUGGAAAAAGGCGCAGGGUGCAUUGUUUCAGGAAAAUAAUCAACAACAGCAUCAGUGAAUUAUCUUCCUAUAACAGCAUGUCGCAAAGUGUUUUAUUCCUCUUAUAUCACGGCAAUUUGCCAAUGAUGACAAUUGUGUUGUAUGUUCUAUGUAUUUACGCCAAUAUUAUGUGUUAUUUUAUUUAUUGAAGAACGACGUAAGACAUUUGUGUCUUUAUAGUUACGUUUAAUAAUGUGGAGAAUCUGUGAUAAAGUUCCCUCACGAGUCGUUCUCUUUUCGCUCUGUUAAAGUUAAUACUAUACCUGUACUUUGUGUACUUUGUUUAUACGUUGUGUACUACACUACUCUUGUACUUUGUGUACUUUGUUUGUACUUUGUGUACUACACUACUCUUAUACUUUGUGUACUUUGUUUACACUUUGUGUACUACACUACUCUUAUACUUUGUGUACUUUGUUUAUACUUUGUGUACUACACUACUCUUACACUUUGUGUACUACGUCUAUAUUUUGUGUACUACACUACUCUUAUACUUUGUGUACUACGUCUAUAUUUUGUGUACUACACUACUCUUAUACUUUGUGUACUACGUCUAUAUUUUGUGUACUACACUACUCAUAAUUAGUGUACUACGUCUAUGUUUUGUGUCGUACACUACUCUUACACUUUGUGUAAUAUGUUUAUGCUUUGUGUACUACACUACUCAUACUUUGUGUACUAUGUUUAUGCUUUGUGUACUACAUUUAUACUUUGUGAACUAUGCUUAUGCUUUGUGUACUACACUACUCUUAUACAUAAGUCAUACACAAAGUGUACUAAUGCUUUCUGUACUUUGUGUGUGUGUGUGUGUGUGUGUGUGUGUGUGUGUGUGUGUGGGUCAG